RNAcentral lists this ribosomal RNA (508 nucleotides) under uncultured bacterium. RNAcentral's name for it is "partial 16S ribosomal RNA". It matches the Rfam family "Bacterial small subunit ribosomal RNA", at positions 28 to 523 of the family's 1533-position model. The record is from RNAcentral.
GAUGAACGCUAGCUACAGGCUUAACACAUGCAAGUCGAGGGGAAACGACAUCGAAAGCUUGCUUUUGAUGGGCGUCGACCGGCGCACGGGUGAGUAACGCGUAUCCAACCUGCCCACCACUUGGGGAUAACCUUGCGAAAGUAAGACUAAUACCCAAUGAUAUCUCUAGAAGACAUCUGAAGGAGAUUAAAGAUUUAUCGGUGAUGGAUGGGGAUGCGUCUGAUUAGCUUGUUGGCGGGGUAACGGCCCACCAAGGCGACGAUCAGUAGGGGUGUGGAGAGAAAGGGCCACCACAUUGGAACUGAGACACGGUCCAAACUCCUACGGGAGGCAGCAGUGAGGAAUAUUGGUCAAUGGGCGAGAGCUUGAACCAGCCAAGUAGCGUGCAGGAUGACGGCCCUAUGGGUUGUAAACUGCUUUUAUAAGGGAAUAAAGUGAGCCUCGUGAGGCUUUUUGCAUGUACCCUAUGAAUAAGGACCGGCUAAUUCCGUGCCAGCAGCCGCGGUAA